Molecule: ribosomal RNA, 253 nt
Filed under: uncultured bacterium
Lineage: Bacteria
Description: partial 16S ribosomal RNA
Rfam family: Bacterial small subunit ribosomal RNA
Source: RNAcentral
UACGUAGGGUGCAAGCGUUGUCCGGAAUUAUUGGGCGUAAAGAGCUCGUAGGCGGCUUGUCGCGUCGGCUGUGAAAACCUGGGGCUCAACCCUGGGCCUGCAGCCGAUACGGGCAAGCUAGAAUUCGGUAGGGGAGACUGGAAUUCCUGGUGUAGCGGUGAAAUGCGCAGAUAUCAGGAGGAACACCGGUGGCGAAGGCGGGUCUCUGGGCCGAUAUUGACGCUGAGGAGCGAAAGCGUGGGGAGCGAACAGG